Molecule: ribosomal RNA, 253 nt
Filed under: uncultured bacterium
Lineage: Bacteria
Description: partial 16S ribosomal RNA
Rfam family: Bacterial small subunit ribosomal RNA
Source: RNAcentral
UACGUAGGUGGCAAGCGUUAUCCGGAUUUAUUGGGCGUAAAGGGAACGCAGGCCGUCUUUUAAGUCUGAUGUGAAAGCCUUCGGCUUAACCGGGGUAGUGCAUUGGAAACUGGGAGACUUGAGUGCAGAAGAGGAGAGUGGAACUCCAUGUGUAGCGGUGAAAUGCGUAGAUAUAUGGAAGAACACCAGUGGCGAAAGCGGCUCUCUGGUCUGUAACUGACGCUGAGGUUCGAAAGCGUGGGUAGCAAACAGG